CUUAAAGUAAUCAGUAAAUACAUCAGUUCCAACUUUUAAUGAUUCUUGAACGUCGUCCCAGGUACUACGCUUUUCCUCUUCUCGAGUUCCCCUAUUUUUUUUGUCUUCUUUGAGCCAUUCCAAACAUGUCUCUAGAAGGGCGCUAUUUCCCGUAGAGGACCUUGUCAUCAGAGCACCAAACUUGGAUAUUGGUCCAUAAUCCACGAUACGCCCAAGACUGAGAUGGACCAAGUGAGUUGGCCACUCAGCUAAACCAUCAAAUAUAUGUGUUGCAUAAACAAUAGUAGCAUUCCUUACUUCCGUUUCCUCUUGCAAAAAAUUUAACAAAUCUGCCCGGGCAAGAACAUCCAAAUCUACAGUUACUUCAUCAAGUAAAAGUACUUCAAAUGGACGCAGAAGUCCCAUACAUAGUUGAACACGUCGUCUUUCACCAUCGGACACUGCAUGCAUUCGCCAACGAAGAUCUAUAUCAAGAAUUGAAAUCAAGAAAUCCCUACGUUCGGCAAAUUUAUCUCCUCCAACAGAAGCAAUUAAUCGUGCAACACUCAUAUCCCUAUGUAUAACAGGGUUGUUAACCCAUUCUACAAACGCACACAUCAGUAAAAUUUGAUGUUAAAAGAACUUACCAGUUCCUAAAUAAACAAAUGCAGAACUAGACUCACGAAAAGGAUCUUUACCACCCACCGAUAUAUGUCCUGCUUUCGCAAGCGAUUUUCCAGAUAAAAGUUUAAGUAAAGUUGAUUUUCCUGUUUAACAAAAUUCCAAGAGGACAUCAGUUAGCAUUUAAAUAUUCUUCAUCAAUUUCCAUAACACCGCGAAACUUACCAGCUCCAUUGGCUCCAACAAGUAAAGUCCUUGAUCCUUUAGGAAGAUCUAAAGUUACGUGAUCAAGACUUAAAGGCUGCUUUGGAGAAAACGUGUAAGAGAGGUUUGAAACAGUUACUUCCAUUUUGAAAU
Molecule: non-coding RNA, 957 nt
Organism: Schizosaccharomyces pombe (fission yeast)
Lineage: Eukaryota; Fungi; Ascomycota; Schizosaccharomycetes; Schizosaccharomycetales; Schizosaccharomycetaceae
Source: the annotation of a GenBank genome assembly